AUGCGGAGGCCGGCCGGGGGGUCCGGGGCCCAGCAUGGAGGCCGAGGCGGCUCCGGCAGCGGGCUACGCGGUCAUGGGCGCGGCCAGGGACAACCAGGGCCAGGGAGUGCGCGGCGGCAAGGCAGAGGACAGGGAGUGGAUUCCUGUCACCAAUCUGGGCCGCCUGGUGAAGGACGUGAAGAUCAAGUCCCUGGAGGAGAGCUACCUGUUCUCGCUGCCCAUCAAGGAGUCUGAAAUCAUCCACUUCUUCCUGGGUGCUUCCCUCAAGGAGGAGGUGCUGAAGAUCAUGCCGGUGCAGAAGCAGAUGCGUGCCAGCCAGCGCAUCCGCUUCAAGGCCUUCAUCGCCAUCGGGGCUACCAGGCCACGUGGACCUGGGUGUCAAGUGCUCCAAGAAGGUGGCAACGGCCAUCCGGGGCGCCACCAUCCUGCCAAACUGUCCAUCGCGCCCAGGCUACUGGGGCAGCAAGAUCGGCAAGCCCCACACCGUGCCCUGCAAGGUGACGGAGCGCUGCGGCUCCAUACUGGUGCGUCUCAUCCCUGCACCCUGUGGCACUGGCAUCGUGUCGGUACCGGUGCCCAAGAAGCUGCUCAUGAUGGCUGGUAUUGACAACUGCUACACUUCGACCCGCGGGUGCACCGCCACCCUCGGCAACUUCGCCAAGGACACCUUUGAUGCCAUCUCCAAAACUUACAACUACCUGACUCCCGACCUCUGGAAGGAGACUGUAUUCACCAAGUCUCCAUACCAGGAAUUCACGGACCACCUGGUGAAGACGCACACCAGUGUGUCCGUGCAGAGGACCCAGGCCCCCGCUGUGGCUACCACCUAAUUUUGUACACAAGGAAAAUAAAGCAAUUUGAACUGAAAAAAAAAA
Ochotona princeps (American pika) is the source of this 875-nucleotide RNA transcript. It is a transcript of the gene named small ribosomal subunit protein uS5-like, with no coding region annotated. The transcript has a single exon. The record is from RefSeq and is a predicted model, not a curated record. Lineage: Eukaryota; Metazoa; Chordata; Mammalia; Lagomorpha; Ochotonidae.